Molecule: long non-coding RNA, 4854 nt
Organism: Oncorhynchus kisutch (coho salmon)
Lineage: Eukaryota; Metazoa; Chordata; Actinopteri; Salmoniformes; Salmonidae
Exons: 3
Source: RefSeq, a predicted model, not a curated record
GGCCUAAUCGUCCAAAAUCAGAGCCCAACUUCAGCCACAAGAGCAUUAGUGAACGGAAGCAAGUCCCCGCAGCAAUGUUCAAACAUCUAGUUGGAAAGCCUUGCCAGAAGAGUGGAAGCUGUUAUAGCAACAAAUUGGGGACCAACUCCAUAUUAAUGCCCAUGAUUUUGGAAUGAGAUGUUUGACGAGCAGAUGUCCACAUACUUCUGGUCAUGUAGUGUAUGUUGAUUGUAAAGACAUUCUGUUUUGAGUUCAACAAGGAUCGUUGAGAAAUAACAAUUAGACCUUUCAAAAGCUGAGAACCUCUCCUCUUUGAUAGGGACAACUCGUUGCUUCCAAAGAUGUUGUUUUUCUGCAAUUGCAUAUUCAAAUGUUAUACAAUCACAAGGGGGGAGAGUGAGUGUGAAAGGCUCACUCAUUACAGCCUCUGGUCUCAGCAAGGCAAGCACAGUUGAAGGACAUAAACUUCUAUAAAAGGCAUCAUGAGGAUAAUGCACUUUACUGUUUUACAAAUUCAUGGUGUUUUAUCCUCCCAAUAAAUAGGAUGUUUUGAUUGAGGGGGCCAGGUAGAAUGAGUAGCUCGCACCAGUGCAACCAAUAUUUUUUAAAACUCGCACAGCCAAGUCAAGGGGUUGCAAAAUGCGACUAAAGGGUUGCAGUCUGGAGCUAUUCAUCGAACACCUUGCGAGAGUUCAUUUGACGCGUUUAGUCAAAUGCAAACAACAACAAAAUGUACCCUGUUUAUGUAAAUUAUCAAUGCCCUUCCAGACGUGCUUACAGAACAGCUAGUUGAUAUCCAACCAGCAACUGAUGCGGAGGUUGUGUCAAGUGCUCCCACACAGACAAGGUAAGAGUUUGCUUGUAAUGAGUGCCAUUCCCUUUGUCUUCAUCAAACUGAACUAUGAAUACUCAAAAUACUCCGUUCCAUUUUAGGAUGAUGCCGUGCUUGAGGAAGACACCUCAUGUCUUGGAGUGGCUGUACGUCUCAUUGAAGACUGUGUGGUUAUGUCAUCACAGCUGAUUGGAUUGGUGUCAGCCAAAUCCACACAGGGGCAAAUGCAGUCAUGUUGUUUGUUGAUUUAAAUUAUCGUUGUAAAUACCCUUUUGCAGUUGUGUCGACAGACCAUGGUCUGAGAUGAAGAACGCUACCUAAUGCAGAUGUUGUAUCAAGUGCGCCCCCCACAGGACAAUGCAAGGACAUUUGAAGUAGUAACCUAGAGAGGGAGUUGUUGAAUAAAGAUAUGCUCAUUGGUUGGAACACGUGAUAUUCUGUUCAUUUAUAGGAUGAUCUACCCGGGGAAUCAACAUCUAGUCCUAAUAAAGACUGUUCAGUGUCCAGAGAGCAGGGAGCAGAGACUCAAGAGGUAACCAAUGUAGAGGUUGCAUCCAGUGCUUCCACACAGGACAAGGAGGAUCUACUCUGUACUAGAGAAGAUUGAUUUGUCAUGAUCACAUACCGAAACAGACUUCCAACACAGCCAUCUGCAGACGUGAUCAGACGACUCCUCGAUUGUGGGGCGCAUUCAACUGUAUUGUACAUUUAUUUGUCGACGUGAAUUGUCAGGGCUAAUAUCUUUGUGUUGUAGAGUGCGCGGGAACAGUUUGCUGAGAUUGAAGAGAAAAGCCGGUAUGAAGAUUGUGUCCUGUGCUCCUACACAGGACACGGUAACAGAGCUGUAGAGUUAGAGCUAGAGUGGUGCAUCUUCACGUUGUCUGCAUCGUGCAAGCUUCGAACGACACCAAUGGUAAUCUAAUCCAUGGGAGCCUGAUGUGCUGCUUGAGGAAGAGACGCCGUCUCCUGGUGAACACACGGCACCACGUACUGUAUGUUGUGGCUUUAAAUGGGUUACAGAGUUGAUGUUUAAGUUAAUUCAUUGAGCUGUAUCUGAAGAUAUUUUCCUGACAGUUAUUUACAUAUGUAAUUGUAUUAGAAUUUGUGCGUUGGAGAUUGGAGUGGUUGAUGACUGGAAAGUGGCUGAGAUCGUCAGUUUCCUACAGGAGGAGGUUCAGAGCAGCGCGACAAAUGACAAGAUCGUGCAACCAACAGAACGAGAGCAAAGCAUGGAACAAGUCAUGCUCCUCCGAUGAAAUGAAAACAAAAAGACCCAACAUGCCAUCUGCUGCAGCACUGCAUACAGCCAGCCAGAAGGAACAUAACUGUCUAUUCUGUGACAGUGCAGACCACAAAUCAGAAAACUGCCCUGACCACAAUAUUGCUACACGCAAAGAGAAACUAAAGAACAUGGGAAGAUGCUUUGUAUGUUUAGGACAGAAACACAUAGCAAAAUUCUGUAAAGUCAAAGAUGUGUCAUGUGCAACAUGUGGAAGCAGACAUCACAUUGCUGUGUGUACCGGAAAGAGGUGUGAGGUGCAACCCUCUACUGUUUCUGCAGAUGCUGUUGUUUCCUCAGUUAUUCCCCGUUCGGUGAAGAUGAAACCAGAUGGACAGAACAGUGUGUUGCUACAAACGGCAAAGGCAUGGGUAGAAGGCCCAUCGGGCAGGAAGAUAGCUCGUUGCUUACUAGAUGGAGGCAGUCAAGAGAAACUUCAUACAUGAAAACCUUGUGAAGGGCUUGAAGCUACCAGUAAUCAGACAAGAGGCACUCACUCUUCACACGUUUGGCUCCUCUGCUCCAGCAACGUCCCAACGCAACACAGUGAAAGUCAUCUUGGAGAAAGUCUGGGACAAACAGCAGAGAAUAGAGAUAGAGACAAUUGAAACCCCACAAGUGUGCACAGCUGUGAUGAGGGUUCCUGGUGAACAGAUUCAAUAUGAGCUCAAUAGAAAUGGACUGCAGCUCGCAGACUUUCCAGGAGAUGACAAUGAUCCUGAACUCUCUGUCCUGAUAGGAGCAGACUACUACUGGCAGAUAGUAUCAGGCAGAGUGGAGCGACUGACGGAGACGCUGGUUGCUUUAGAGAGCACCUUUGAAUGGUCGGUGCAGAGACCCAUGUCCAUGUCAUAUUUUGUUGUUUUGGCUCUACUCCAGCAUGUUGGAUUUUAAAUGAUACAAUGACAAUGGUUAAAGUGCAGAUUUCAGCUUUAAUUUGAGGGUAUCUUCAUCCAUAUCGGGUGAACCAUUUAGAAAUUAGAGCACUUUAUGUACAUAGUCACCUCAUUUUAGGGGACCAAAAAUAUUGGGACAAAUUCACCUAUUGAAUGUAUUGAAGUAGUCAAAUGUUUUGUAUUUGGUCCCAUAUUCCUAGCAUGCAAUGAUUACAUCAAGCUUGUGAAUCUACAAAGUUGUUGGAUGCAUUUGCUGUUAGUUGGGGUUGUGUUUCAGACUAUUUUGUGCCCAAUAGAAAUGAAUGGUAAAUAAUAUAUUGUGUCAUAUUGGAGUCACUUUUUUGUAAAUAAGAAUAUGAUAUGUCUUUAAACAUUUCCACAUGAAUGUGGAUGCUGCCAUGAUUGCGGAUACACCUGAAUGCAUCGUGAAUACUGAUGAGUGAGAAAGAGGCAUAAAUAUCACCCCCAUGUUUUGUAUUUGGUCCCAUAUUCCUAGCAUGCAAUGGACGUCAACCCCAAUACAUCUUCAUAUCAUCGUCAUCAACAGCAUUACAGUUAAAUACUAACUUUUUUAUAAACCCGAAAAAGGUACAGCUUCUAAAUGUUACGCAACGAAAACAGCCAGAUAUAUCCAAAUCAGAUUUUAGUAGGCACAUUGUGGGCCUCUUACAAUACAUCAAUCAAAUAUCGACUUUGUUAGAUCAGAUUUGUUGAAUGUGUGCGUCCUUCUAUCCCCCACAGUCGGCAUUCCAUUGACCUCUUUACUGCCUCUCCCCAUUACCUCCCCGAUCGCUUUCCAGGAGUUCAAACACAUGUUCAUGUCUUUGAAAUCCCUACACAAGGUAUCAUAAAUAUGUUUUUACUUGUGAACUUGUUUUGAUAGCCUUUCAUCAAUGUUCUCCAGGUUUGUUGUCAAGGAAGCGAGUUUGUGUUUAUACAGGAUGUACCGUCCCCACCUACCGUCAACCAAUCAUGUCAAUGCGGAGCUAUAUGGCGCUAUGCGGAGCCCUCCGUAUUGUUACACAAUUUGGGAGGCGCACCUCAUCCCCAUAUGGAGCUUACUUUGGCCUCCACAAGCCUCCAGAGGCUCUGCAAUUGCAUCACACCCUCGGUAAUGAGCUUCCGGACAUCAUUUCCAGAACAAGCAUAAAUUGGCUUUAAUGGUGAGAGGUUAGCCUGUCUUGGGGGUAUGAUAUUUGCGUGUCUAACUUUCUCACUCAUCAUUAUUCACGAUUCAUUUAGGACUAUCUGUAAUUAUGGUAGCAUCCACAUUAAGUGUUUUAAUAAACGUUCUAUUCUUAUUUACAAUAAAAGUGACUCCAACAACACAUUUUUUUACCAUUCAUUUCUAUUGGGCACAAAAUAAUAUGAAACCCAACCAAAACAGCAAAUGCAUCCAACGAGUUUGUAGUCACAAGCUUGAUGUAAUUAUUGUGUGCUAGGAAUAUGGGACCUGUCAGGUUCUAAUUCUCAGAGUAAAAAAAAGUCACCGGACACUAUGAAAGAUUAACCAAGUUGAAUUCUUCCCAGGGGAUCAAUACAGCUGCAUUAGACAAAGACAUUUUCACACAAGCACUGAUAUUUAACCCUUUUUCCUAGGCUGAGUCUCCUCCUACACAUCUGAACAGCAAAUGCAUCUCUGUUGCUAGACAGAACUUUAGUGACAUCUGUUCUUCCUCACUUCAUCGGACCUGACCUCUAACUCCUGAUUCAAAUGCUAAUUUCUGCCAAAGGUAGAAUGCAUUUCAACAUCGGGUUUCCAGGCAAAUGUUGAAGCAACCCUCCUUUACAAAUCAAAUGAACACCAUACAGAUCCUUACCUAGAUGUCGCUGCAGGAAUGCUAGCA